CUUGAAUUUGAGGGUCUUAAUUCACUCAAUCUGUUCAAAUCUUUCACAUGAAAUUUUAGGCCAAAAUCAGCCUUAACCAUACAUACAUGUACACAUUUAUAUAUACUUAAAGGAUCUUUUGAAAAUAAUAAAUACUUUUUUUACUUUCAAUCAUUAGUCAAAUUGUAAAUGGACAAUUGUAGUCAAACUGGCUCAAGUACACCCCCCCCC
RNAcentral lists this long non-coding RNA (210 nucleotides) under Mytilus galloprovincialis (Mediterranean mussel). Lineage: Eukaryota; Metazoa; Mollusca; Bivalvia; Mytilida; Mytilidae. The record is from RNAcentral.